UACGUAGGGUGCGAGCGUUGAUCGGAAUUACUGGGCGUAAAGCGUGCGCAGGCGGUUCGUUGUGUCGGUGGUGAAAUCCCCGGGCUUAACCUGGGAAUGGCCAUGGAAACUGGCGAACUGGAGUGUGGCAGAGGGGGGUGGAAUUCCGCGUGUAGCAGUGAAAUGCGUAGAGAUGCGGAGGAACACCGAUGGCGAAGGCAGCCCCCUGGGCUAGCACUGACGCUCAGGCACGAAAGCGUGGGGAGCAAACAGG
This 253-nucleotide ribosomal RNA is filed under the name uncultured bacterium. RNAcentral describes it as "partial 16S ribosomal RNA". It matches the Rfam family "Bacterial small subunit ribosomal RNA", at positions 524 to 776 of the family's 1533-position model. The record is from RNAcentral.